GCACUUGCACGCAGGCCGGCAGGCUCAGCUUGCGUCGCUGCUUUGUGCGCGUUUGCAGCGCUGUAAGGGGCAAUUUCAAACUGGUUUUGUUAAACUGAGAAAGUGAAUUGCAACGGAGCAACGACUCGGCUGAGCCACGGAGGUAUCUGGGGACAACAUCACCUCAAGGUGCUUUAGUGAUCAUGUUGUGCAGCAGACUCAGUUGUGGCAGAGGAUGAUUCUGCCUCUUGGAGCAUCCAAAGUGACGCCGGGAGAGCUGCCCACACAUGUGAGCCUGCAAGUGGUGUGAGACGCCCUUGCUGGGGCAGCUCGUUCCCCAGGCUCUGAAGCCGCUAUGUGCAGAGCGAACACAGGUAUAGCCCUGUUUGGGACUCCCGGUGGUGUCUGCGCGUUACGCUGAGGGACGAGGCAGCGAUUGCAGAAGGCUGACUUUCUGCCAGGGAGAG
Long non-coding RNA from Gymnogyps californianus (California condor), 446 nucleotides. RefSeq lists it as uncharacterized. The transcript has 4 exons. The record is from RefSeq and is a predicted model, not a curated record. Lineage: Eukaryota; Metazoa; Chordata; Aves; Accipitriformes; Cathartidae.